AUUGAACGCUGGCGGCAUGCCUUACACAUGCAAGUCGAACGGUAACAGGUCUUCGGAUGCUGACGAGUGGCGAACGGGUGAGUAAUACAUCGGAACGUGCCUAGUAGUGGGGGAUAACUACUCGAAAGAGUGGCUAAUACCGCAUGAGAUCUACGGAUGAAAGCAGGGGAUCGCAAGACCUUGUGCUACUAGAGCGGCCGAUGGCAGAUUAGGUAGUUGGUGGGAUAAAAGCUGACCAAGCCGACGAUCUGUAGCUGGUCUGAGAGGACGAUCAGCCACACUGGGACUGAGACACGGCCCAGACUCCUACGGGAGGCAGCAGUGGGGAAUUUUGGACAAUGGGCGAAAGCCUGAUCCAGCAAUGCCGCGUGCAAGAUGAAGGCCUUCGGGUUGUAAACUGCUUUUGUACGGAACGAAAAGCCCCGGGUUAAUACCCUGGGGUCAUGACGGUACCGUAAGAAUAAGCACCGGCUAACUACAUGACAGCCGCCGCCGUAA
RNAcentral lists this ribosomal RNA (498 nucleotides) under uncultured bacterium. RNAcentral describes it as "partial 16S ribosomal RNA". It matches the Rfam family "Bacterial small subunit ribosomal RNA", at positions 30 to 523 of the family's 1533-position model. The record is from RNAcentral.